Molecule: non-coding RNA, 68 nt
Filed under: Heterosigma akashiwo
Lineage: Eukaryota; Raphidophyceae; Chattonellales; Chattonellaceae
Source: RNAcentral
AUUUCUAUUAUAUGUCUAUUAUUGAUUUCUUCUAUUUUUAUGAAUUGAUGGUUAAAAAAAAAAAAAAA